CCUGCCAUUAUCGGCGUCGGCACAUGUUCGUGUGCAUUAUGACAAAAAAGAUCAUGUCUGUUUUUAAAAGUAAAUAGUGGAAACAUGGGUAGAAUCGUUUAGUUUUUAUUUGGUAACAGUGGCCUUAUUACAGGUAGGCUUAGACAUAAUGCUUUGGAAUGUUUCCCUUCAGUAACAAAUGGGCUAGGCCCAGUGUUUUUGUAACCCUGUUCACUUAAGAAAGAGUUGCAGCUUUCAUCAAAGAAACUGAUGAUCUAAAAGUUGAGACUGCAUGGAUGACCUAGGCUGCUUUGUCUGGACGAAAAUGAACCCUCCAAGGCUCCUACAGCCUCAUCACACAGAAACUCGAGGAACCGGAAGCAGGGAGGAGGACCGACAGAUGAACGGAUGACCUGCUUGCUGGGCUACCCAUUACUGAUUCUUGAGAAAAAUGAGGACCACUGACUGAUGACGGAAUUGCUUUACUGAGAUUGACGAGCCUGCCUCGAGACAUCGUCAGGGCUCCAUCAGCCUUAUCAAACAGAAACUCGAGGAACCGGAAGCAGGGAGGAGGACCGACAGAUGAACGGAUGACCUGCUUGUUGGGCUUCCCAUUCCUGAUUAUUAGAAAAAUGAGGACUACUGACUGAUGACGGAAUUGCUUUACUGAGAUUGAUGAGCCUGCCUCAAGACAUCGUCAGGGCUCCAUCAGCCUUA
Molecule: long non-coding RNA, 696 nt
Organism: Patiria miniata (bat star)
Lineage: Eukaryota; Metazoa; Echinodermata; Asteroidea; Valvatida; Asterinidae
Exons: 3
Source: RefSeq, a predicted model, not a curated record